GUGAAUCAUCGAAUUUUUGAACGCAAAUUGCACUCUCUGGUAUUCCGGAGAGUAUGCCUGUUUGAGGGUCAGUUUAAAUAACAAUCGGUGUGGUUGCUGACUUUUGUGGUGCCGCACGGGAUCUGGGUCGGCUUGCCUUCGGCUAAGUGAACUCCCAUUUUGCAUGAUUUUUUUCGAACGUAUUUAAAUGAUUUUAUGUACGAUUGCGAUAUAGAAUACUAGGUGUGGUUAUCUUCAUGCUUCG
This 244-nucleotide unclassified non-coding RNA is filed under the name Glomus sp. RNAcentral describes it as "partial contains 5.8S ribosomal RNA and internal transcribed spacer 2". The stretch from base 1 to 71 matches the Rfam family "5.8S ribosomal RNA", at positions 84 to 154 of the family's 154-position model. The record is from RNAcentral. Lineage: Eukaryota; Fungi; Glomeromycota; Glomeromycetes; Glomerales; Glomeraceae.